RNAcentral lists this ribosomal RNA (468 nucleotides) under uncultured bacterium. RNAcentral describes it as "partial 16S ribosomal RNA". It matches the Rfam family "Bacterial small subunit ribosomal RNA", at positions 28 to 507 of the family's 1533-position model. The record is from RNAcentral.
GAUGAACGCUGGCGGCGUGCCUAACACAUGCAAGUCGAACGGCAACGCCCUAAUUUCGUGCGCUUACGGGGUGCGAAUGGCGUGCGUAACACGUGUACAUCCUGCUCUACUUUUUCGGAUAAGUUAACGAAGCUGGACUUACUCUAAUAUCGCAGACCACCUACGAUGGAGAGCGUUGGAUCGUCUCGGCGGUUGGGGAUGGAUUCGCGGCUUAUCAGCUUGUUGGUGGGGUAGUGGCUUACCAAGGCUUUGACGGGUAGCCGGCCUGAGAGGGUGACCGGCCACAUUGGGACUGAGAUACGGCCCAGACUCCUACGGGAGGCAGCAGUGGGGAAUAUUGCACAAUGGGCGGAAGCCUGAUGCAGCAACGCCGCGUGCGGGAUGACGGCCUUCGGGUUGUAAACCGCUUUCGCCUGUGACGAAGCGUGAGUGACGGUAAUGGGUAAAGAAGCACCGGCUAACUACGUG